GCCAAAGGGAGCACACAAACAAGACUAGUGUCUGCAAAUACUAACUGAUAGAAUGAAAAAGGGAGAGAACAAUCCAACAUGGGAAGCGAGAUACACAGCAGACUCACAGAAUGGAGGAUGUCCUAAACAGCACUCUGGCCUCAGAAUCAGCCCUUAAGGCAUGCGGAUCCGGCUGAAAAGCCCAUGAGAGUAUUUCAGGCAUGGAAAGCCAAGACACUCUGGCAAAAAAAAAAAAAAAAAAAAAAAAAAAAAAAAACCUAAAUGAAAGAUCUCCAUGAGUGAGAUCCCAGUGGAAAGAACAGGUCAUCAAAGAAGGAGGUACCUUUCUCUGAAGGGAGGAGAGAACUUCCACUUUGACUACGACCUUGUCUAAAUAUGAUCAGAGUUGGUGAACCCAAAAGGCUUCCAUAGCCUUGGCAACUCAUGACAAGAGCCUAGGGUGAUUACAGACGCCAUAAACAAGAGUGUCAAAUUGUUAAGUCAACAACAGGAGUCACUGUGCACUUACUCCUCAUGUAGGAUCUCUGUCCUUAACGUGCUGUACAUUGUGAUUUAAUGCUAUAACUAGUACUCAAACAGUAUUUUUCACUUUGUGUUUCUAUGUGGGUGCAAACUGUUGAAAUCUUUACUUAAUAUAUGCUCAACUGAUCUUCUGUAUAUAAAGAGAAUUGAAAAUGAAUCUUGAUGUGAAUGGAAGGGGAGAGGGAGCGGGAAAGGGGAGGGUUGCAGGUGGGAGGGAAGUUAUGGGGGGGGGAAGCCAUUGUAAUCCAUAAGCUGUACUUUGGAAAUUUAUAUUCAUUAAAUAAAAGUUAAAAUAAAAAACCUGAUCACAAUUUUCCCAUCUUCUGUUUUCCUAUCUGGAAAAAAAAUAGGCAUCAAUAACUCAGAAAUAUAUCAGGAAUACUUGAAGAGCAUCCAUCUGCCAUUGGGACUUCCAGUAAUAUUGAUUUGUAUAUUAAUAUAGUCAUAGCAAGGAUAGCUACAUUUAAUGAAUGCUUACUACCUAUACAGCACUCAAGAUAAUUUAGUCUUAUUUAACUUCACAACCAAUUUAUGGAGCAAAUAAUAUAAUACCAUUUUACAAGUGGACUGACUCAGGCUUAAAAAUACUGGAUAAAUUAGUUGUCACUUUUCUGGCAAGCAUUAGAAGGAAAACUCUAAUCCCACAGUCUGUGAUAGUAGCUUCUAUAGUAUGCAGUUAAUGGCAGUACCACAGGAGUUAGAUUAUAUUGCCACAGUACUUACAUCAAGCUUGGAGACUCAAAAUGAAUAUGUUUCCCUGAAAAACAUGAGAAACAACCAGUGGAAAUGACUGCUGUAUUUUUUGAAUUCCAAAUUGGAACAUGAAUCUUCACAAGUCUGAAUAGAUAAGGGAAUAUAGCUGAACAGAAUCUUUGGUAUUGUGGCUGUCCUACAAAUUUUGAGAAUGGUUAAACAUGCUGAAUUAUAAUGAUCCCAUCAUAUUACCUUUUCCAAGUAAUUCAUGAAAUUUGUGGUAUUAGGUUAGAACACACAUUUUACUUCAGUUCAUUCCUAGGAUAUCAUUCUUACAAAUAUUCAAAGUUGUGUUUAAGAAACCAGUGAAGAUCAUGAGAGAGCUGUCGGAUAUGAUAGACACACAUUUUGGUGGUGUUUUCUGGCCCUUAAAUAAGAUGUAGGCAAUUUUGUUUUAAAAUCAUAAUCAUUAAACACAUGCAUUCUCAAAGCCAAACCAAGCCACCAGAAAUGUUAUUACAUUCCCCAAGCUACUUUACUUAUUUGCAGGUGAAGUAAGUCAUUUCAUCUACAGGGUGCACUUAAAGUGAGGAGCUGCAAGGAACAAUGAAGAAACAGUCUAAGGAAAGAGCAGUUUGCUGAUCAUGUGGGUGGAAUUCCAAUAAGCACAACAGAUUUGUGAAAUAUUGGAGGAUAGGGGUGUUGAGUCAAGGGAGAAAAGUCAGAAUCUGAUGGUAGUAAGAGUUGCAGAUACCAGGGAACCAGAGGGCCUUUGGAUGGUGUUCAACAAAACCAAGAAGGGUCAGAAGAGAGAGUUGCUAUAUCAGAUGAAAGACCAGCCAACACAGAGUUAGGCAACUCUGGUACUGGAUUUGGGAGUGCACUUCGGGUCACAAGGCACUCAGGGAGGACAUCCUACCAGCUUUUUCCCUAGGAAACUGGCUCUAGGUGGAAGGAAACGAAGUCAGUGGGCAUAGGAACUGAGAGCUAAACUGAAAAAGUAAAGUUCUGCUCUGAAGCACCACAUACAAGAUACUGCAGAGGAGCAGCAGAAGGAUCAUGCGUAUCAGUGCCCUGCACCAUUUUGUGCUCCCUCCUACGUGCUCCCCUUUGUUGGCCCAAGUUCUCAUCCUAUAACUUUGUCAUUCAUAUUGUCAUUCAUAGCUUGCCUUGGAGAAAUUUCUCUGGUCUCUCCGAUCUUAGGUACUGGUGAAAGGGACAUAGCAUCACUGAUUACCUGGUGUUCAUGCACAUAUGUAGUAGCUUUGGGAUCCGCAAGGAGAGAAGGCCUACAUUUCCAGGAAUGGAGAGUCCCUGACUGCACUUCAGGGAACGAAAAGUCCUUGUCAAGGUCCCCGCGGGUGCCUAAAGGUCAACCAGUGAGGAUCAGACCUGCCUCAACCUUUAACCCCCAUGCCCUGUAUCUAUAAAAGGAGCUCUCCCAACCUCUGAUGCAUGACUUCCCCGGCCCCUUCCCUGUUGGGACUCGGGAACCUCGCCAGGGAGCAGAAUCCCAAUAAAAGCCUGUAUAUUGAUUCAUCUGGCUGGGAAGAUUUGUUACACGCCGGACACCUUGCAAUACGUAAAUGAUGGAAAAUUGCUUUGGGAAGUGUAGUAAGUAGACUGAAGCACUGACUUGUUACAUUUUCGAUAGCUGCAUCAGAACUUCUCUGAUUGGCCCCAGCAUUCUAAUCGUAUCCAUGGCCUUUGGUCACUCCUUGGCAAAAUGUCACAUUAAGCCAAGAACAGGGGCUAUUACUACAGACUCCUUUCUUCUCUGCCCUCUUUCCCAGGAUUGCUCUUCAAGCUGUACCAUGGAGCCCCAUCCCUGGUGGGUAGGGCCUACUCACAGGGCAAAAGGGAGGAGCACAUAUGUGUCAUAAUGAGCAUUAUGUCAUAGCAUGGUUUGUGACAUAAAAGCUGUGAUAGGCCUGGAUAUGUUCCAGUUGCUCCUAUUUCCACUCUGAGAAGAGCAGCAGCUAGAAGCAUCUUCCACAAAUGUCAGAAAGGCUACCAAAAAUUUUUGGGAUUCAUCUCCAGGCUACUCCUUUGGCUAUUCCUCCAAAUCAGCCGCACCCCUCCGAUCCUCCACACCAGCCUCACCCUCCUCCCAGCCCUCCAUGUCAGCCCCACCAUUGUGGUCAUUCAUGCCAGCUCCACCCUCUUUCUGUCCCUUCACACCACCCUCAAACUUCUGGCCCUACAUCCCAGCUUCCCCCUCCUUGUCCUCCUGCUGGGCCUCUCAGUGCUCCUGGUCCUCCACCCCAUCCUCACCCUCCUUCUGGUCCUUCCCUCCAGCUUGCCAAACCUUCAGAUUCUGUACCCCGGCUUCCCUUCCCUUGUCAUUCACUCUACCUUAACCCCCCUGUUAUUCCACAUGAGCCUCACCCUCCUUCUGGUCCGGCACCCUGGCCUCACCGUCCUGGCCUCCCACACUGGCAUCACCGUCCUCCUUCUCUAAGCCAGCUCCCCCCUUCUUAUUCUCCAUCCGGCCCUCACCUUUCUCUUCCACCCAGCCCUCACCCUCCUUCUCAUCCUCCACCCCAGCUUCAUCCUCCUUCUCGUCCUCCACCCCUGGCUCACCUUCCUCUUUGUCCCACAUCCCAGCUUCACUCUCCUCAUCCUCCACCCCUGCCCCACACUCCUUCUUGUCCUCCACUUGAGCCUCUCCCUCCUCAGCCUCGACAUCCUCCUCCUCUUGCUCGACCCCAACCACACUCUCUCUCUCAUCCUCCACCCCAAUCUCAUCCUCCUUAUCAUUUUUCUCCUCCUCCAACCCAGCCUCAAGCCCCUUCUCAUCCUAAAGCCCAGCUUCACCCUGCUUAUUGUCCAGCCCAGCCUCACUCUGCUCCUCAUCCUACAAUCCGGCUUCACCCUGCUCAUCUUGCAGCCCAGCUUCAGCUGGAUGUUCUAAGCCACCCUCAUCCUCCUCGUUCUUCAACUCGGCCUCACCCUCCUUCUGACCCUCAGCCCCAGACUCACCCUCCUGUCCCUCUAAUCCGGGCUUACCCUCCUCUUCCGGCAUCCCCUCCACACCCUCCUGCUCAUCUCACCUACCGACCUCACCAUUCUUGUAUUCCUAAACCCCGGCCCCAACCCCGUGCUCAGCUUCCACGCAAGCCUUUUUCUCCCUUUCUUUCACCUUGGCCUCAUGCUCCUGACUCUUCAUACCCACUUCAGGCUUGUUUUCCUUCACUACAUCAGUCUUCCACUCCUUCUCACCCUUCACGCCAUCUUCAAACUCCUGCUGCCAGUACAUCCUGGCAUCCCUCUCCUGCAAAUUUCCCUCUCUCUCCUGGCCCUCCAUGCCAGCCUCACCCUCCCUUGGAUCCUCCAUCCAAGUCUCUCCCUCCUUCUGGUAUAUUUCCUGAUUAUUCUCCAGUCCUCCUAUCUGAUGAGUCUUCUGAGAAUUCCAGCAUAGAGGAGAUCACACCCGCAUGCAGUGAAUGUCUCUCAGAUUUCUGCUCCACAUUUCCCCCCACUCUUGAUAAUAACUCUGCCAAUGACUUGGCCUCAUUUCAAUUCAUAAUCAGCUCUUCUGUUCCUACCAAACCUCCCCUUUUCCUCCCUGUGAAUUUGCCUCCCCUUUCCAGUUCCCCCUCUGACUUCUCCUUGAGUCCUCCUGACAGCCCUACUUAUUAGUCCCCUGUACUCCACCCUGCAAAUCCAGUCACCUCAUGAUUCAUGAAUCUCCUCUGGAGGGAUAUUCUCCCUCCUGCUGGGCCAGUUCUGGUACAUCUCACAAUGGAAGCACUCUGGAUGUCCAGCAGCCUGACCAGGUGGGUAUAGGUAAUGUAGAUGAUGGAAAACCAGCCCUCAUCCUGAAAUGUCAUCUUGGUUAGUUACAAGACCCCUCAUUGUGAAGAGAUCACAGUUAUUUGAGCACUGUGUGUACUUUCACUCCAUCUUGUUCACUCUCUUCAGAUGCCAGAGAAACUCAAAAAUUGCCUUUUCUCCAGACAGCCUGCUUCAGCCUCUCUCUGUAUAUACUGGUUUCCUCAUGGAAUGUAGUUGUUUCCACUGAACAAAAUGGAGGAAGAAUGAUAGAGAGGAGAUGGAAGGCGAAGAGGGGAGUCAUCGCCUCUGUUCUCCUGCAGGAGGGUGGAUGUAAAUGUAGAAGCACCUAGCUCCUGUGUGUAGAGUCUCUACAAGCAGUUUCUCUCUUGGAUCCAUGGUGGUCUACUAGUCAAGCUCGAUCCAGAGAAUCUGUAAGAUGUCUUAGCGCUGGAUUACAUUGGAAGCCAAAAUGGGUUUGUGAGAGAAAGGAGAAAAGAGGAAGAUUCCAGGCCAUCAAGCAGGACAUUCAGUAAGGAGUUAUAAGCUUGGUACAGGUGGUGUCAAUGAAGAAAACCCAGCUCCUGUGUGUCAUCUCCACAAAUCAUUUCUUGGUGGAAUUCAGGGAUGUCUACUAAUCAGGCUCACUCCAGACAAGCUGCAAUAGAUGCCUUAGCACUGGAUUACAUUGGAAACCAAAAUGGAAUUGUGAGGUGUUCUCAGAAAGGGUAAAGGAGGAAUAGCUUCCACACCACAGAGUAGCACAUACAAAAGGAGUUAUGAAUUGUUCCAAACAGCAAAUGUGUUCAACCGCGUUUUUCUGUAAGGUUUCAGAUCUGGAAGAAUUCAUGUAUGGAAAGAGCUUCACAAGCCAGAAAAAUCAAAUGUUGGAUUUGCAGUUGUAACUCUCCUGGAAACUUCAGAAACAGUGGCAUUGCCUCCAGAUUUUUAGCCCAGAAGGCUGAGCUCAAAGCUCUCACCCAUGCAUUCUGCCUUAGAGCAGCAUAUACAACACUGUACUAGAUUCCACAAAUAGAAGGAAUGAUGUUUGCAAGACAGAAUCCCAAGUUCAAGGAAUUGAGAGAUCUUCAUACUUUCAUAAAAGCAUAAUAUAUAAACUGAUAAAAUGAUAAUUUAUUACAAUACUUAACAGGUAAGAGUUACUAAUUGUCACUGCUUCUGUUCCAUUCCAUAUGUUUAUACUUUGAUCUUUAUUUUACUUUGCACCAUUAAAAUAUUAGCAAUGAUAACAAUAUAUCUCUCAUUUUUGAGUACAUACAAUUUCACACUGUAUUAAUCUAUUAUACACUACCAUAAUAGGAAUAGAAGUAGCUUUUAUUAAAAAAAUAAAAAACGGGAAGCUGGGUGUGGUUCAUCAAUCCUGGUGAGUAUAGUAAUAUAAUAUGUUAAUAAUAAGGAAGUGGGGCUUCAGGGACAGAACUCUUUGUAUUAAAAGAAAAGACUUCAUAUGAUAGAAUAUAGUCUUGUUACAAGAGCCUAAAAUUUAUUCAAUGUUUGAUCAAUUUUUUUUCCCAAAAUAGCUCCUCUGGCUUUCACAAUAUUACUUUCUUGGCUUCAAAUGGCUAACUAAAAGUAAAUACUUCCUUAAUUGAAUUCCCAUCAAAUUUUUUUGUGUGUGUAGCACAAUGCUUAAUGAUUAGAAGGAGGAUAAAAAUAAUUAUUUUCUGACUUAAUAGUUACCUUAAAAUGAUACUUUAAAAGAAAAAAAAUGUUGCUGAUAAAGGUAGACAAGAUCCAGCCCAGAUUUGCCUCUCCUGUGAAGAAUUUUUGGUAUAUUCAAAUGAUAGAAAUAUAAAAGUAAAGAGAAUAGCUAGCAUUAAUAAAGUGCCUACAAUGUAUCAAACAUUGUUCUAACUACUUUAUGCAUGUUAUUUCACUUUGGUCUCCACAAAACCUUUGUGAUAUGAAUGAUCAUUAGUUCCCUUUUAGUGAGAAAAUCUAGCUAGUCUUUAAGUAACUUGCCUGAGGUCAGAUGAUACAAUGAUGGAGACAGUUUUGAACUCAGGCAGUCAUACAUCAUAUUCUCUGUUUCCUCUGGAUUCUGACUGCAUGAAACAAAGUGGGAACAAGGUCAUAUUUCCAAGGGAUUAUUUACUCAUUCUCCAGCUAGAAUGGAAGAUUUCUGUUGCAACUUUAUUGAAACUGUAUGCUCUUUCAAGCUCUGGAUGUCAAGAUAUUCAAUAAAUAUUUCUGGGCUGAUUGCAUUGAAAGAAGUUAUAGGGCUAGGUAUAAAUUCAAAAGCCCCCUCAAAAUGUUGGAUGUUCAGAUAGAGGUGCAAAUGGAAGUGGGAAAAAAAGAAAUUCCUAAGCAUAAGGGUUUUUUUUCACAUUGUAAAGUACUUGAUCACUUAAAAAUUAAAUAAAUGCAGGCUGAUGCUGUAGCGUAGCAGGUAAAGCCGAUGCCUGCAGUGCCUGCAUCCCAAGUGGGCACUGGUUUGAGUCCUGGCUGCUCCGUAGCUCUCUGCUAUGGCCUGGGAAAGCAGUAGAAGAUGGCCCAAGUGCUUGGGCCCCUGCACCUGCAUGGCAGACCCAGAGGAAGCUCCUGGUUCCUGGCUUCAGAUUGGCACAGCUCUGGCUGUUCUGGCCAAUUGGGGAGUGAACCAUCGGAUAGAAGACUUCUCUCUCUCUGCCUCUCCUCUCUCUGUGUAACUCUUUCAAAUAAAUAAAUAAAUAAAUCUUUUUUAAAAUUAAAUACAGCAUAUAAGUCAGAAAACAAAUUACUGACUUGUGCUACUGAUAAAGUGUGUUCUCUAAAAAGCAUGGUGCAUCAUUUAAGUCUCUGCUCGGUACCCUCACAUCCCAAAUGCAGUGCCUGUAUUCAAGUUCCAGCUCUGCUUCUGAUUCCAGGUUGUGCGGAUGCAGACCUUGAAAGACAACUGCUUGUGGAUCAAACACUUAGGUCCCUCUCAUGUGAGUGAUCUUUAUUGAGUUCCUACCCUUUGCUCCAACUGAAAUACAUUCCCAGCUGCACAGGCAAAGACUUCUUGGAAAAGACCCCAGAGGCACAAGCAGUCAAAGCCAAAAUUAACAAUUGGGAUUACAUCAAAUUGAGACGUUUCUGUACUGCAAAAGAAACAGUCAGGAAAGUGAAGAGACAACCGACAGAAUGGGAAAAAAUAUUUGCAAACUAUGCUACAGAUAAAGGAUUAAUAACCAGAAUCUACAAAGAGAUCUAGAAACUCCACAACAUCAAAACAAACAACCCACUCAAGAGAUGGGCCAAGGACCUCAAUAGACAUUUUUCAAAAGAGGAAAUCCAAAUGGCCAACAGGCACAUGAAAAAAUGUUCAGGAUCACUAGCCAUCAGGGAAAUACAAAUCAAAACCACAAUGAGGUUUCACCUCACCCCGGUUAGAAUGGCUCACAUGCAGAAAUCUACCAACAAUAAAUGCUGGAGAGGAUGUGGGGAAAAAGGGACACUAACCCACUGUUGGUGGGAAUGCAAACUGGUUAAGCCACUAUGGAAGUCAGUCUGGAGUUUCCUCAGAAACCUGAAUAUAACCCUACCAUACAACCCAGCCAUCCCACUCCUUGGAAUUUAUCCAAAGGAUAUUAAAUCGGCAAAUGAAAGAGCUGUCUGCACCUUAAUGUUUAUUGCAGCUCAAUUCACAAUAGCUAAGACCUGGAAUCAACCUAAAUUCCCAUUAACAGUGGACUGAAUAAAGAAAUUAUGGGAUAUGUACUCUAUAGAAUAUUAUACACCAGUAAAAAAGGAAAUCCGGUCAUUUGCAACAAAAUGGAGGAAUCUGGAAAACAUCAUGCUGAGUGAAUUAAGCCAGUCCCAAAGGGGCAAAUAUCAUAUGUUCUCCCUGAUCGGUGACAACUAACCAAGCACCAAAAAGGAAACCUGUUGAAGUGAAAGGGACACUAUGAGAAACAGUGACUUGAUCAGCCCUUGUCCUGACUGUUGAUGUACAACUUAAUACUUUACCCCUUUUAGUAUUUUGUUUUGUUCUACUUAAUACUACUGGUUGAACUCUUUAAUUAACACACAAUUAUUCUUAGGUGUUUAAAUUUAACUGAAAAGUGAUCCCUGUUAAAUAUAAGAGUGGGAAUAAGAGAGGCAGGAGAUGUACAGUUUGGCACAUGUUCAAUCAGACUUGUCCCAAAUGGUAGAGUUAGAAACGUGCCAGGGGAUUCCAAUUCAAUCCCAUCAAGGUGGCAUGUAUCAAUGCCAUCUCACUAGUCCAAGUGAUCAAUUUCAGUUCACAAUUGAUCAUAAUGAUAGGAUUUA
Non-coding RNA from Oryctolagus cuniculus (rabbit), 9243 nucleotides. NCBI's taxonomy places the organism in Eukaryota, Metazoa, Chordata, Mammalia, Lagomorpha, Leporidae. The record is from RefSeq and is a predicted model, not a curated record.